AACAUAUUGGUGAACUUAUGUUACGGCCAUAAGAAAGAUGGGAUAGCCCAUCGUAUGUUU
RNAcentral lists this transfer RNA (60 nucleotides) under Raillietina sp. HL-2022. RNAcentral describes it as "tRNA-Arg". Lineage: Eukaryota; Metazoa; Platyhelminthes; Cestoda; Cyclophyllidea; Davaineidae. The record is from RNAcentral.